UACAGAGGGGGCAAGCGUUGUUCGGAAUUACUGGGCGUAAAGGGCGCGUAGGCGGCCUCUUAAGUCGAACGUGAAAUCCCCGGGCUCAACCCGGGAACUGCGUCCGAUACUGGGGGGCUUGAAUCCGGGAGAGGGAUGUGGAAUUCCAGGUGUAGCGGUGAAAUGCGUAGAUAUCUGGAGGAACACCGGUGGCGAAGGCGGCAUCCUGGACCGGUAUUGACGCUGAGGAGCGAAAGCAUGGGGAGCGAACAGG
Molecule: ribosomal RNA, 253 nt
Filed under: uncultured bacterium
Lineage: Bacteria
Description: partial 16S ribosomal RNA
Rfam family: Bacterial small subunit ribosomal RNA
Source: RNAcentral